GAUGAACGCUGGCGGCGUGCUUAACACAUGCAAGUCGAGCGAGAAGUUUUGAAAAGAUUCUUCGGAUGAAAUUUAAAAUGGAAAGCGGCGGACGGGUGAGUAACGCGUAGGCAACCUGCCCCAUACAAAGGGAUAGCAUUUGGAAACGAAUAUUAAUACCUUAUGAAACUUAACUAGUGCAUGCUAGGUAGGUCAAAGAUUUAUCGGCAUGGGAUGGGCCUGCGUCUGAUUAGCUAGUUGGUGAGGUAACGGCUCACCAAGGCGACGAUCAGUAGCCGACCUGAGAGGGUGAACGGCCACAUUGGAACUGAGACACGGUACAAACUCCUACGGGAGGCAGCAGUGGGGAAUAUUGCACAAUGGGGGAAACCCGGAUGCAGCAACGCCGCGUGAACGAUGAAGGCCUUUGGGUCGUAAAGUUCUGUUCUAGGUGAUGAAAACUGACAGUAACCUAGGAGAAAGCCCCGGCUAACUCCGUG
This 479-nucleotide ribosomal RNA is filed under the name uncultured bacterium. RNAcentral's name for it is "partial 16S ribosomal RNA". It matches the Rfam family "Bacterial small subunit ribosomal RNA", at positions 28 to 507 of the family's 1533-position model. The record is from RNAcentral.